Molecule: ribosomal RNA, 461 nt
Filed under: uncultured bacterium
Lineage: Bacteria
Description: bacterial SSU rRNA
Rfam family: Bacterial small subunit ribosomal RNA
Source: RNAcentral
CUACGGGAGGCAGCAGUGAGGAAUCUUGCGCAAUGGGGGCAACCCUGACGCAGCAACGCCGCGUGAGUGAGGAAGGUCUUCGGAUCGUAAAGCUCUGUCGGAUGGGAAGAAAUGCGUAUCGGUUAAUACCCGGUACGCUUGACGGUACCAUCAAAGGAAGCACCGGCUAACUCCGUGCCAGCAGCCGCGGUAAUACGGGGGGUGCAAGCGUUGUUCGGAAUCAUUGGGCGUAAAGGGCGUGUAGGCGGCUAGAUAAGUCAGAUGUGAAAUCCCUGGGCUUAACCCAGGAAGUGCAUUUGAAACUGUUUGGCUUGAGUAGGGGAGAGGAAAGUGGAAUUCCUGGUGUAGAGGUGAAAUUCGUAGAUAUCAGGAGGAACACCGGUGGCGAAGGCGACUUUCUGGCCCUAUACUGACGCUGAGACGCGAAAGCGUGGGUAGCAAACAGGAUUAGAUACCCUGGU